Molecule: small RNA, 280 nt
Filed under: Pongo abelii (Sumatran orangutan)
Lineage: Eukaryota; Metazoa; Chordata; Mammalia; Primates; Hominidae
Description: retained intron
Source: RNAcentral
GGGAUGAAUAGAAGGACUAUUAGGAAAGACUGGGAAUGACCAGCCUUCAUGGGUCAGUUUGAGGGGAUUCCCACAUAUCCGGACGUGAACCGCCUAUGGAGCAUUGUGGACAAAUACAAGGUGACCAAGUUCUACACAGCACCCACAGCCAUCCGUCUGCUCAUGAAGUUUGGAGAUGAGCCUGUCACCAAGCAUAGCCGGGCAUCCUUGCAGGUGUUAGGCACAGUGGGUGAACCCAUCAACCCUGAGGCCUGGCUAUGGUACCACCGAGUGGUAGGUG